This 163-nucleotide ribosomal RNA is filed under the name Linaria vulgaris (common toadflax). RNAcentral describes it as "5.8S ribosomal RNA". It matches the Rfam family "5.8S ribosomal RNA". Rfam says of the family: 5.8S ribosomal RNA (5.8S rRNA) is a component of the large subunit of the eukaryotic ribosome. It is transcribed by RNA polymerase I as part of the 45S precursor that also contains 18S and 28S rRNA. Lineage: Eukaryota; Viridiplantae; Streptophyta; Magnoliopsida; Lamiales; Plantaginaceae. The record is from RNAcentral.
CAUAACGACUCUCGGCAACGGAUAUCUCGGCUCUCGCAUCGAUGAAGAACGUAGCGAAAUGCGAUACUUGGUGUGAAUUGCAGAAUCCCGUGAACCAUCGAGUCUUUGAACGCAAGUUGCGCCCGAAGCCAUUACCAGAGGGCACGUCUGCCUGGGCGUACGC